RNAcentral lists this ribosomal RNA (396 nucleotides) under uncultured Exiguobacterium sp. Its description in RNAcentral is "bacterial SSU rRNA". It matches the Rfam family "Bacterial small subunit ribosomal RNA", at positions 1043 to 1440 of the family's 1533-position model. The record is from RNAcentral. Lineage: Bacteria; Bacillati; Bacillota; Bacilli; Caryophanales.
GCAUGGUUGUCGUCAGCUCGUGUCGUGAGAUGUUGGGUUAAGUCCCGCAACGAGCGCAACCCCUAUCCUUAGUUGCCAGCAUUUGGUUGGGCACUCUAGGGAGACUGCCGGUGACAAACCGGAGGAAGGUGGGGAUGACGUCAAAUCAUCAUGCCCCUUAUGAGUUGGGCUACACACGUGCUACAAUGGACGGUACAAAGGGCAGCGAGACCGCGAGGUGGAGCCAAUCCCAUAAAGCCGUUCCCAGUUCGGAUUGCAGGCUGCAACUCGCCUGCAUGAAGUCGGAAUCGCUAGUAAUCGCAGGUCAGCAUACUGCGGUGAAUACGUUCCCGGGUCUUGUACACACCGCCCGUCACACCANCGAGAGUUUGCAACACCCGAAGCCGGUGAGUAACA